CAGUAGCCACGGUAAUACAGAGGGUGCGAGCGUUAAUCGGAUUUACUGGGCGUAAAGCGUGCGUAGGCGGCUUCUUAAGUCGGAUGUGAAAUCCCUGAGCUUAACUUAGGAAUUGCAUUCGAUACUGGGAAGCUAGAGUAUGGGAGAGGAUGGUAGAAUUCCAGGUGUAGCGGUGAAAUGCGUAGAGAUCUGGAGGAAUACCGAUGGCGAAGGCAGCCAUCUGGCCUAAUACUGACGCUGAGGUACGAAAGCAUGGGGAGCAAACAGGAUUAGAUACCCGUGUAGUCCCUGUCUCUUUACA
Molecule: ribosomal RNA, 301 nt
Filed under: uncultured bacterium
Lineage: Bacteria
Description: partial 16S ribosomal RNA
Rfam family: Bacterial small subunit ribosomal RNA
Source: RNAcentral